This 253-nucleotide ribosomal RNA is filed under the name uncultured bacterium. Its description in RNAcentral is "partial 16S ribosomal RNA". It matches the Rfam family "Bacterial small subunit ribosomal RNA", at positions 524 to 776 of the family's 1533-position model. The record is from RNAcentral.
UACGUAGGGUGCAAGCGUUAAUCGGAAUUACUGGGCGUAAAGCGUGCGCAGGCGGUUUCGUAAGUCUGUCGUGAAAUCCCCGGGCUUAACCUGGGAACUGCAUUUGUGACUGCACGGCUAGAGUGUGUCAGAGGGGGGUAGAAUUCCACGUGUAGCAGUGAAAUGCGUAGAUAUGUGGAGGAAUACCGAUGGCGAAGGCAGCCCCCUGGGAUAACACUGACGCUCAUGCACGAAAGCGUGGGGAGCAAACAGG